RNAcentral lists this transfer RNA (87 nucleotides) under Patescibacteria group bacterium. RNAcentral describes it as "tRNA-Leu". It matches the Rfam family "tRNA". From Rfam's summary of the family: Transfer RNA (tRNA) molecules are approximately 80 nucleotides in length. Their secondary structure includes four short double-helical elements and three loops (D, anti-codon, and T loops). Further hydrogen bonds mediate the characteristic L-shaped molecular structure. tRNAs have two regions of fundamental functional importance: the anti-codon, which is responsible for specific mRNA codon recognition, and the 3' end, to which the tRNAs corresponding amino acid is attached (by aminoacyl-tRNA synthetases). tRNAs cope with the degeneracy of the genetic code in two manners: having more than one tRNA (with a specific anti-codon) for a particular amino acid; and 'wobble' base-pairing, i.e. permitting non-standard base-pairing at the 3rd anti-codon position. The record is from RNAcentral.
GCCCAGAUGGCGGAAUUGGUAUACGCUACAGACUUAAAAUCUGUCGCCCGCAAGGGAUUGAGGGUUCGACUCCCUCUCUGGGCACAA